UACGAAGGUCCCAAGCGUUAUCCGGAUUUAUUGGGUUUAAAGGGUGCGUAGGCGGGUUAUUAAGUCAGUGGUGAAAGCUCCCAGCUCAACUGGGAAACUGCCAUUGAUACUGAUAGUCUUGAGUAUGAUUGAAGUGGGCGGAAUGUGUCAUGUAGCGGUGAAAUGCUUAGAUAUGACACAGAACACCGAUUGCGAAGGCAGCUCACUAAGCCAUAACUGACGCUGAUGCACGAAAGCGUGGGGAGCAAACAGG
This 253-nucleotide ribosomal RNA is filed under the name uncultured bacterium. RNAcentral's name for it is "partial 16S ribosomal RNA". It matches the Rfam family "Bacterial small subunit ribosomal RNA", at positions 524 to 776 of the family's 1533-position model. RNAcentral also lists the same sequence under 1 other name. The record is from RNAcentral.